UGCCCAUCCCCGGGGGGCCGCGCGAAGCGGCUGAGAGGCAGCUGGCACGCUGCGACCCGCUGAACCUGAUCCGGUUGAACCCGGCGUAGGGAGGGAGCGGCAUCCGGCC
This 109-nucleotide non-coding RNA is filed under the name Sphingomonas sp. RNAcentral's name for it is "TPP sequence". It matches the Rfam family "TPP riboswitch aptamer (THI element)". From Rfam's summary of the family: Vitamin B(1) in its active form thiamin pyrophosphate (TPP) is an essential coenzyme that is synthesised by coupling of pyrimidine and thiazole moieties in bacteria. The previously detected thiamin-regulatory element, thi box was extended, resulting in a new, highly conserved RNA secondary structure, the THI element, which is widely distributed in eubacteria and also occurs in some archaea. Analysis of operon structures identified a large number of new candidate thiamin-regulated genes, mostly transporters, in various prokaryotic organisms. Lineage: Bacteria; Pseudomonadati; Pseudomonadota; Alphaproteobacteria; Sphingomonadales; Sphingomonadaceae. The record is from RNAcentral.